GAGUUUGAUUCAUGGCUCAGGAUGAACGCUAGCUACAGGCUUAACACAUGCAAGUCGAGGGGAAACGGACAUCGAAAGCUUGCUUUUGAUGGGCGUCGACCGGCGCACGGGUGAGUAACGCGUAUCCAACCUGCCCACCACUUGGGGAUAACCUUGCGAAAGUAAGACUAAUACCCAAUGACGUCUCUAGAAGACAUCUGAAGGAGAUUAAAGAUUUAUCGGUGAUGGAUGGGGAUGCGUCUGAUUAGCUUGUUGGCGGGGUAACGGCCCGACCAAGGCGACGAUCAGUAGGGGUUCUGGAGAGGAAGGUCCCCCACAUUGGAACUGAGACACGGUCCAAACUCCUACGGGAGGCA
Molecule: ribosomal RNA, 356 nt
Filed under: uncultured bacterium
Lineage: Bacteria
Description: bacterial SSU rRNA
Rfam family: Bacterial small subunit ribosomal RNA
Source: RNAcentral